This 777-nucleotide ribosomal RNA is filed under the name uncultured Neocallimastigales. RNAcentral's name for it is "partial large subunit ribosomal RNA". It matches the Rfam family "Eukaryotic large subunit ribosomal RNA", at positions 23 to 637 of the family's 3401-position model. The record is from RNAcentral. Lineage: Eukaryota; Fungi; Neocallimastigomycota; Neocallimastigomycetes; Neocallimastigales.
ACACGCAUGACACACUGCAUAUCAAUAAGCGGAGGAAAAGAAACUAACAAGGAUUCCCCUUAGUAACGGCGAGUGAAGCGGGAAGAGCUCAAAUUUGAAAUCUUCAAGGUUCUACCUUGACGAAUUGUAGUUUAUAGAAGUGUUUUCUGUUAGUAGAGUGGCAAAAGUUCUUUGGAAUAGGACAUCAUAGAGGGUGAGAAUCCCGUAUUUGGUCAUUCCUUCUAGCGUUGUGAUACACUUUCAACGAGUCGGAUUGUUUGGGAAUGCAGUCCAAAAUGGGUGGUAAAUUUCAUCUAAAGCUAAAUAUUGGCGAGAGACCGAUAGCGAACAAGUACCGUGAGGGAAAGAUGAAAAGAACUUCGAAAAGAGAGUUAAACAGUACGUGAAAUUGUCAAAAGGGAAGCGUUUGACACCAGUAUUGUUUUUCCGAAAAUCAAUUACGAAUGUUUUAUUUUUGAGAAGUUAUGACUUCAUCGGCUUGCUUCUCUCUUUAUGAAACUUUCUUAAUGCACUUUUCGGUUAACAAGUCAACAUCAAUUUCUUUUGUUGUAAAAGGGUAUGAGGAAGGUGGCUUUCUUUUCGGAGAAAGUGUUUAUAGCCUUGUAGCCUCUGCAAUCGGAGAGAUUGAGGUCUGCAGCGUAGAUCCUUCGGGGUUAGAUACAGUUUGUGCUAAGUUAUAGCUUUUCAUAGACAACUUGUUGACUAUGUUUAGUCUUGUAGCUUACUCGCUUAUGCUAUUUUACCUACGCUUAGGAUGUUGAGCGCAUGUCUCUCUCU